UGUUGAUUAAAACACCUUUGUUCCAUCAGAGCUUUGGUCCCUGUGUCUUUCUUUCUUUCUCUAUCUCUCUAUAUUUCUGGCUGAUUUCCUGGAACGCGAAAGCCGGCUGCGUAACCCAGGAAAUAUUAGCCUCUCUCCUUCUUCCACUUUCUCAUUGUCGACUCUGGACCACCAGGUUCCGGUCCAUUAAAGGACCUCAACACAAGAUGAUUCCAGGGCCCACGUACUGAACUAUUAGGUAUGCUGGGAAUUGCAGCCCUCUCCCAGCUGGGUCCCAUACGUGUGGGCUUUUGCCUCAGAUUUCCUGAUCUGUAUCUCAAAUCCUUGAUGAGCUUAAAACCUUCUGUAUUAGUCAGGACUUAGUUGCAGGUGUCAGAAACUCAAAUAGAUUUAAGCACACAAGGAACUGGGUUGGUUUUCUUUGCUGAAAAGUCCAGGGGUUGUGCCGAAUUAAAGAAGGACCGAAACUAGAUGCCCUAAUGAUCAGUUCAGGAUUUUCCUUCUUUUUCUCUUUCUACUCUAUGCUCCUUUUUAUUUGUUGCAUUUUCAGGCAGGUGCUUCCACCAGUGAGGAAAGAUGGUCACCAGCAGCUCCUGGUUGGUACUUCUCUUCCUAGUUUUAGGAGCAGAUUCUUGCCCUAGUUUGAAGAGAAGCCCUUGUACUGACUCUUAUUUGUACUAACUCUGGUCAUGUGCCCACCCUGAACCAAUCACCAGGACCAUUCCUCCUGUGUUUUUCCAUUGGCAGAACUCCAUUCCCAAGUCAUGAUGAAGGCAGUGGCGGCAGCCCUCUUUGAACCACUUGGACUGGGAGAGCUGAAGGUGGAGGAGUGGUGCCACCAGUGUCUGCCCCAGCUCUUCUGGGUUGCGGCAGAGUGUGCAAUCCAGAAGGUCAAGGAAUAGCCAGUACAUCAGUCCGGAAGUAGACACCUCAAAUUAUGAUGUGUUGAGAAGUUAAUGAGGGCACUCUUCAUGGCGGGAUGUUGGUGUGUCCUCAGGUGACCCCUGCUGCAGCCGUCUUGUGACCAUAAGGAGAGAAACCAGCUACAUCCUGAGGUCGCAAAGCACAAGAUCGGCCAGCAUUUGAGUCUUUAAUGACAUCUUCCUGCCCCUGGAUUAACUAAAUGUAGAAUUUCCCCUCAUUUCUGGACCUCUAGCUAUGUAGGUUAAUAAACUUCUAUUGUUUAAUGUACUUAAAAU
This is a long non-coding RNA of Bubalus bubalis (water buffalo), 1199 nucleotides long. RefSeq lists it as uncharacterized. The transcript is spliced from 2 exons. Lineage: Eukaryota; Metazoa; Chordata; Mammalia; Artiodactyla; Bovidae. The record is from RefSeq and is a predicted model, not a curated record.